This 453-nucleotide long non-coding RNA is filed under the name Nicotiana benthamiana. RNAcentral describes it as "long non-coding RNA (NBEN_LNC032047)". The record is from RNAcentral. Lineage: Eukaryota; Viridiplantae; Streptophyta; Magnoliopsida; Solanales; Solanaceae.
UGAGUAACUUUUACAUUUGUAAAGCCUCAAUUUGGGGGUUCUUCAAGUUAGGGAGACUAAGAACUCUCCCAAAAGUGAUCAUAUACAAGAAGUCAUGAAUAAUAUGGAUAACCCAUAUUAUUCGUCGGUUAACCUGUUUUUUUAUCUGUAUUAAAUAUAGGACGGGUCAAAUAAUUGAUCUGUUUUUUCAUUACCCGUUUUCAACUCGAACUAUAUCUAACCUGAUCCGCCUGUUUGCCACUCCUAACAUGGACCUUCACCGUGGACAUCAAAGGCAAAGGUGUUUGAUCCAACAUAAGGAGGUAAUUGGAGUUUGGUAAAGUUUGUGAGUUCAAUAGAAAAAAUGAAAGCUGGAAAAAUAAAGAAUAACAUGAACAUGGAGGAAACGCCCAUUGCUUUAAGAUCAUAGUACUCAAAUAUUGGCCAUGAAUUCUCUUGGUAAGUAAUUUGAAC